Molecule: non-coding RNA, 1495 nt
Organism: Paramisgurnus dabryanus
Lineage: Eukaryota; Metazoa; Chordata; Actinopteri; Cypriniformes; Cobitidae
Source: RefSeq, a predicted model, not a curated record
UUCUGACUUCAAUGACUAAGUAAAACUAUCAUUGUGUACAAUCAAAUGUUAGAUACUGCAGAAAUAAACAAAAUGUAUUGUUAACCUUCGCGUUACGUUAAGGAUGCGCAGUUUAUUUAUGAAGUGCAACAAGAACCUACACGCGGAUGACAUCAAAGUACUGCGAGAGCGACUCGAAAGAUCAUGGACAGCAUUCUGAUUUCAAAUCACUCUCGCGGUAUUUUAACGUCAUCUUUUUCUAGUUCCUGCAACUCAGCAUUACGUCGAACACCUUGUCAAAAAUGAUUGAGAUGGCCAAUCAAAUCAAAAAAGGCGAGUGCCACUGGCCAAUCACAUAACAGAAGACGAGCUUUCCUGUUAACGGAAGCCGAGCGGCGGCCAAUCAAAUUAACCAAUAGGCGGGGUUACCGUCGGAGUAGCAGUUACACCGUGUCAAUCAAUCAUAACGGACACAGAGAUUUCAAAGGCAGCAGGAUGAAAGAUAUGUGUCUGUGUUCAUCAAGACAUGAAGACUAUGGAGUGGGACAAGAGAAGGAUGAUGGGGUGUAUAUUCAAAUAGACACAUUAAGUCACAUUGUGAUUUCAGUGAAAGCUGAUAAAUACAGAGGGCUGGACAGUGGUUUCAUUCAUUAGGUAAAGAGGUGGGACAAGGAUGCUGACAGGACAGGAGGAGGUGACAUUCAGACAUUCAGCGCAGACAUUUUCAUCCAAAGCAACUUGAGGAAGAAAACAGAAGCAGUUCAUCCUAAAAGUGGGCUGCUGUAAUGUUUACAUCUAUGGAAAGAUGAGCUGAGAAGAAAAGAGAGGCUGGAAAGCAUUACUUCUUGUUGAGGACAAUCCUGAAUAGGAACACUUUCUCAUACACAUAGAUUAUUAUUAGUGUUUGAUUGUUUGUUUCAUUUUUAUGAAUUGUAUUGUUUUAAUUUUUCGUUUUAUUUGAAAUUACCUAAGUUAGAUUCAUGCUAAUACUUUAACUGGACCUUGUAUCUUUGCUGGCUGGCUGGCUGUAGAGUUGGUUUCACAUACACAUGAAGUUUCUAAUUAACUAACUUUUAAGUUCAGUUUGGUUUAAACUUGUAUUUACCCAUGGUAAUUCAUUUAAAUUUCUAUUCAUGCUUAUAUAUUAAUUUCAAUGAACUUCUGUAUUUGUGUAUAGCUGGCAAUUUGGGCAAGCUACGUUUAACACACAAAUGUAACUGUCACAAAGGUUUUUUUUAUUAUCAGUUUGUUCUAAACAUUUGUUUGUUUACUAAGGAUGAAAUUGCUUUGUAAUUUAAGUUGUUGGUAGAUUCAUGCCAAUAAUGUAUUUGAACAAACUAGUAUUUUUGUUUAUUGCUGGCAGUUUAUACUAGAAGAGUUUUAACACAUACAAUGUUGUAGUGUUAUUGACUUGUGUGCUAUUGAUUAAUAAAAAGGCAAACAAUUUGAAAGUAAUUUUUCGUGUGAUUUAUUUAUUAAUAUAAUUUGGGCAAGAUUAGGCUGAGUUAUGGCUCAG